Molecule: ribosomal RNA, 446 nt
Filed under: uncultured bacterium
Lineage: Bacteria
Description: partial 16S ribosomal RNA
Rfam family: Bacterial small subunit ribosomal RNA
Source: RNAcentral
CCUACGGGUGACAGCAGUCGAGAAUCAUUCACAAUGGGGGAAACCCUGAUGGUGCGACGCCGCGUGGGGGAAUGAAGGUCUUCGGAUUGUAAACCCCUGUCAUGUGGGAGCAAAUUAAAAAGAUAGUACCACAAGAGGAAGAGACGGCUAACUCUGUGCCAGCAGCCGCGGUAAUACAGAGGUCUCAAGCGUUGUUCGGAAUCACUGGGCGUAAAGGGGGCGUAGGCUGUUUCGUAAGUCGGGUGUGAAAGGCGCGGGCUCAACCCGCGGACGGCACAUGAUACUGCGAGACUAGAGUAAUGGAGGGGGAACCGGAAUUCUCGGUGUAGCAGUGAAAUGCGUAGAUAUCGAGAGGAACACUCGUGGCGAAGGCGGGUUCCUGGACAUUAACUGACGCUGAGGCACGAAGGCCAGGGGAGCGAAAGGGAUUAGAUACCCGGGUAGUC